GAUGAACGCUAGCUACAGGCUUAACACAUGCAAGUCGAGGGGCAGCAUGGUCUUAGCUUGCUAAGGCCGAUGGCGACCGGCGCACGGGUGAGUAACGCGUAUCCAACCUGCCUUACACUCUUGGACAGCCUUCUGAAAGGGAGAUUAAUACAAGAUGUUAUCAUGAGUAAGCAUUUUCGCAUGAUUAAAGGUUUACCGGUGUAAGAUGGGGAUGCGUUCCAUUAGAUAGUAGGCGGGGUAACGGCCCACCUAGUCUUCGAUGGAUAGGGGUUCUGAGAGGAAGGUCCCCCACAUUGGAACUGAGACACGGUCCAAACUCCUACGGGAGGCAGCAGUGAGGAAUAUUGGUCAAUGGACGAGAGUCUGAACCAGCCAAGUAGCGUGAAGGAUGAAGGUUCUACGGAUUGUAAACUUCUUUUAUACGGGAAUAAACGGAUCCACGUGUGGAUUUUUGCAUGUACCGUAUGAAUAAGGAUCGGCUAACUCCGUGCCAGCAGCCGCGGUAAUACGGAGGAUCCGAGCGUUAUCCGGAUUUAUUGGGUUUAAAGGGAGCGUAGAUGGGUUGUUAAGUCAGUUGUGAAAGUUUGCGGCUCAACCGUAAAAUUGCAAUUGAUACUGGCAGUCUUGAGUACAGUUGAGGUAGGCGGAAUUCGUGGUGUAGCGGUGAAAUGCUUAGAUAUCACGAAGAACUCCGAUUGCGAAGGCAGCUUACUAACCUGUAACUGACAUUGAGGCUCGAAAGUGUGGGUAUCAAACAGG
RNAcentral lists this ribosomal RNA (759 nucleotides) under uncultured bacterium. RNAcentral describes it as "bacterial SSU rRNA". It matches the Rfam family "Bacterial small subunit ribosomal RNA", at positions 28 to 776 of the family's 1533-position model. The record is from RNAcentral.